AGAGUCUAUUGAGAAGAUGUAUCA
This 24-nucleotide non-coding RNA is filed under the name Arabidopsis thaliana (thale cress). The record is from RNAcentral. Lineage: Eukaryota; Viridiplantae; Streptophyta; Magnoliopsida; Brassicales; Brassicaceae.